CCUACGGGAGGCUGCAGUGGGGAAUAUUGGACAAUGGGGGCAACCCUGAUCCAGCCAUGCCGCGUGUGUGAAGAAGGCCCUCGGGUUGUAAAGCACUUUCAGUGAGGAAGAACGCCUGGUGGUUAAUACCCAUCAGGAAAGACAUCACUCACAGAAGAAGCACCGGCUAACUCCGUGCCAGCAGCCGCGGUAAUACGGAGGGUGCGAGCGUUAAUCGGAAUUACUGGGCGUAAAGCGCGCGUAGGUGGCUUGAUAAGCCGGUUGUGAAAGCCCCGGGCUCAACCUGGGAACGGCAUCCGGAACUGUCAAGCUAGAGUGCAGGAGAGGAAGGUAGAAUUCCCGGUGUAGCGGUGAAAUGCGUAGAGAUCGGGAGGAAUACCAGUGGCGAAGGCGGCCUUCUGGACUGACACUGACACUGAGGUGCGAACGCGUGGGUAGCAAACAGGAUUAGAUACCCCUGUAGUC
Molecule: ribosomal RNA, 465 nt
Filed under: Vreelandella stevensii
Lineage: Bacteria; Pseudomonadati; Pseudomonadota; Gammaproteobacteria; Oceanospirillales; Halomonadaceae
Description: partial 16S ribosomal RNA
Rfam family: Bacterial small subunit ribosomal RNA
Source: RNAcentral